CCCUGAUCCAUGGCAGUGGCCCAUUUGUUUUUUUUUAAUUAAAACCCAAAACCCUUUCUAUUCUUUUUGUCCCACAUUGGAAGUUUGAGCUUCUCACCUCUCUUCCCUCCUCCUAUAUAAGAGACUCCUUCUCUUCUCUUUUUUUCAUCAAGUCAAAGUAUUCUUUGCGCAUGACAAACUGUUGAAUUAUUCAACGACCAGUCACUAGUCAAUUUUUCCGGUGAGAUUUCCGGCGAGCUUCCAGCGGGAUUUCUGGGCGAGCUUCCGGUGGGGUUUUCUAUUGACUUCAGUUGAUCACUUCCGUUGUUUUUUCCGGUCAGUUGCUAAGGUGAGGGCUAUUCCGUUAAAUCCUGAGCUAGUUUAGUACUAUUAUUAUUGAAAGUCUAGUUUCGAAACAUGAUCCGUCUUUGUGAAUCGAGUAUGUUUGAAAGUCUUGGUUGCUUAUUAUUAAUUUGAUUGUUAAACUGGAAAUAGGAUAAUAGAGGAUUCAACGAUUGUGUGAAAUGAUUGAUGUUAAAGACUGUUAUAUAUAUGUAUAUAUCUAGUAAGGACUAUGUGGUGAGUGCGGGGGCCCAGAGUGAUUUGGGCUAGCGACGCAUAUGAGUACGGGGGCCCAGAGAAAUCUGAGCUAGCGACGUAUAGAGUGCGGGGGCACAGAGACAUCUGAGCUAGCGACGCAUAGUGGAUGAGUACGGGGGCCCAGAGACGUCUGAGCUAGCGACGUAUAUUGUGUGGUGCGGGGUGCAGAGACGUUUGCAUAUCGACGCAUAUUGGUGGAGUGCGGGGGUCCAGAGAUGUCUGGACUAUCGACGCAUAUUAUGAUAUCGUAUAUCCGUAUGAGGAGAACGCAGGGUGUGUGGACUAGCUAUGUACCAUCAGCGUAUUGUUUGUUUUGUGUGAUGUGCUAGGCAUCUUGUCUGUUCAUGCUAGAGCUACUCUUACAUAGUCGUAGUGCUAUGUGCUGAGUCUGUGGUUUGCGGGUUAGCAUCCCAUACCUCACUGAGUGACUCCCCUGUUGCUCAUCCCUCUUUCUUUUCUCUUUCAGGUGAGCCUGGCAGACAGGAGUGAUUGCUUUCGGAUUGGUGCUUUGGGAGUUUUAUUCUUAUUUUCAGACUUCGGUUUUAUGCUUUUAUCGAUAUUUUCCGGAUUUAUUUUAUUUAUGCUAUUAUUGGAUUAUGGUGUUGAGUUUGACUUUUGAGAAGUAAUAAAUGGAGACUUUUAUGAGAUUAUUAUUUAUUAUAUUAUUUUAGAAAAUCGGGGUAUUACAAUUUGGUAUCAGAGCGGGGUUCCGUCCCGGCUCUGACCCGGGACGGCGAUUUAUGGGACUCGGAUUUCAGUGAUUUUUUAAUGUUUUGGGAUUGGGAGUUUUUUUUAAAAAAAAUGCACCCUUCUGCCGAGCAUCAUUCGGUUAGUCGUUAGAGAUUCUGGUUUUCUUUUCUUAUGCAGGUGAAUACCAAGUUUCUUUCGUUUCCAUCGUCUAUUACCUUGUAUCUUUCUUUUCUUCGAAGCUGUGGACGUUCUUUCUUCAUCUCUUUGGAAUUCGAGGACGAAUUCUUCUUAAGUGGGGGAGAAUUGUAACGACCCUGAUCCAUGGCAGUGGCCCAUUUGUUUUUUUUUAAUUAAAACCCAAAACCCUUUCUAUUCUUUUUGUCCCACAUUGGAAGUUUGAGCUUCUCACCUCUCUUCCCUCCUCCUAUAUAAGAGACUCCUUCUCUUCUCUUUUUUUCAUCAAGUCAAAGUAUUCUUUGCGCAUGACAAACUGUUGAAUUAUUCAACGACCAGUCACUAGUCAAUUUUUCCGGUGAGAUUUCCGGCGAGCUUCCAGCGGGAUUUCUGGGCGAGCUUCCGGUGGGGUUUUCUAGUAAGUAUGCCGCUUCCAUAUUUUCUAGUUAUAGGAAUCUAUUCAGAGAAUUCUAUUUUAGGGAAUCCGCCAUUUUUAGGAAAUUUCUAUUUUAGGAAAGUUUCUAUUUUGGGAAAGUUUCUAUUUUAGGAAAGUUCCUAUUUUUGGAAACUUUAUUUUCCUGCGACUCUGAGCCUAAGUCGUUAAUCCUCGUGUUGCAGUUGACUUCAGUUGAUCACUUCCGUUGUUUUUUCCGGUCAGUUGCUAAGGUGAGGGCUAUUCCGUUAAAUCCUGAGCUAGUUUAGUACUAUUAUUAUUGAAAGUCUAGUUUCGAAACAUGAUCCGUCUUUGUGAAUCGAGUAUGUUUGAAAGUCUUGGUUGCUUAUUAUUAAUUUGAUUGUUAAACUGGAAAUAGGAUAAUAGAGGAUUCAACGAUUGUGUGAAAUGAUUGAUGUUAAAGACUGUUAUAUAUAUGUAUAUAUCUAGUAAGGACUAUGUGGUGAGUGCGGGGGCCCAGAGUGAUUUGGGCUAGCGACGCAUAUGAGUACGGGGGCCCAGAGAAAUCUGAGCUAGCGACGUAUAGAGUGCGGGGGCACAGAGACAUCUGAGCUAGCGACGCAUAGUGGAUGAGUACGGGGGCCCAGAGACGUCUGAGCUAGCGACGUAUAUUGUGUGGUGCGGGGUGCAGAGACGUUUGCAUAUCGACGCAUAUUGGUGGAGUGCGGGGGUCCAGAGAUGUCUGGACUAUCGACGCAUAUUAUGAUAUCGUAUAUCCGUAUGAGGAGAACGCAGGGUGUGUGGACUAGCUAUGUACCAUCAGCGUAUUGUUUGUUUUGUGUGAUGUGCUAGGCAUCUUGUCUGUUCAUGCUAGAGCUACUCUUACAUAGUCGUAGUGCUAUGUGCUGAGUCUGUGGUUUGCGGGUUAGCAUCCCAUACCUCACUGAGUGACUCCCCUGUUGCUCAUCCCUCUUUCUUUUCUCUUUCAGGUGAGCCUGGCAGACAGGAGUGAUUGCUUUCGGAUUGGUGCUUUGGGAGUUUUAUUCUUAUUUUCAGACUUCGGUUUUAUGCUUUUAUCGAUAUUUUCCGGAUUUAUUUUAUUUAUGCUAUUAUUGGAUUAUGGUGUUGAGUUUGACUUUUGAGAAGUAAUAAAUGGAGACUUUUAUGAGAUUA
This is a long non-coding RNA of Raphanus sativus (radish), 3010 nucleotides long. RefSeq lists it as uncharacterized. The transcript is spliced from 2 exons. NCBI's taxonomy places the organism in Eukaryota, Viridiplantae, Streptophyta, Magnoliopsida, Brassicales, Brassicaceae. The record is from RefSeq and is a predicted model, not a curated record.